This 763-nucleotide unclassified non-coding RNA is filed under the name Hevea brasiliensis (rubber tree). Lineage: Eukaryota; Viridiplantae; Streptophyta; Magnoliopsida; Malpighiales; Euphorbiaceae. The record is from RNAcentral.
GGUAUUACUCCAACUUUCACAUCACUAGCUUCAAUGCUCGAAAUCAAAUCAAUUAUCUUUCUUUUAUCUUCGUCUCUGCCAUACACUCUAGGUUCAUGGUGCAAACAUGUACUAGGUGGUCGCACACAUACCUUGCUAAAGGACGUCCCUCCAACAUUUCUAUUUAUCAAAUCCAAGUCCUUUUGCUGGUCUACAAUCUCCUGAAAUCUGGUGGUGAUCUGCUUCAUUUUGGACAUCAUCUUUGAAUUGAACAUAACAGCUACCGGAUUGAUGGUUGUCCCAACAGUAUGAGAGAGUUUCCGGAGAUUACUUGAGCUGGCUUGAGAUUCAUCCUUCAGUUGGCGUUGCAAAAUUUCAGUGGCAAACUCAUCCAAGAUGUCCUCUACGUCAUAAGCCAAAUCCCUGAGGUCCUCCAGCCACGUCUUCACCGACUCUUUAGUCAGCUGCUUCUCCGCUGCAUCUUCAAGCACAUGACGAAUGUCGGUCAACGUUUUCUCCCACUUGUUAAUAUCGGCGAUGACUUUCUUUUUACUAGCAAACUUGGGCAGUUUAGAAGGGGCGAUAUUUCCAAUCUUCUCGAAAAGCAACUUCAAAAAAGCUGACAGAGCAGCCACUUCAAUGGCAGCAGUCAUGGUUUCUUGGCGUUCUUCAUCAAUGAACCCAAGGCAAAGAUGGAAUAAUGCAGCAGCCAAGAUUGACCAAAAUACGUAACAAUUCGUCACUGUGUGAUGAAGUCUCACUCAUAUUAUAUUCGCUUCAUCAA